RNAcentral lists this small nuclear RNA (106 nucleotides) under Vicugna pacos (alpaca). The record is from RNAcentral. Lineage: Eukaryota; Metazoa; Chordata; Mammalia; Artiodactyla; Camelidae.
GUGCUGGCUUCGGCAGCACAUAUACUAAAAUUGGAACAUACAGAGAAGAUUAGCAUGGCCCCUGUGCAGGGAUGACAUGCAAAUUCAUGAAGCGCUCCAUACUAAA